CCACAACGUGGUACUCAUACUGAUAAAACAUGUGAGUGUGUUAGUUUGAUACCUCUCCAGGGCAUUCCAUGUGCAGAAUCCUGACGAAAAGCUCUUGGAUGACGAAAAAUGUCCUGUGUUUGUUUUGCAAAGCUAAAGAGAGCGUAAUGACAUGCAGGGCCGUCUUUAAUACUGGUUGCAGUGUGUGUGUAUAGAGGUUAUG
Molecule: non-coding RNA, 202 nt
Organism: Pelobates cultripes (western spadefoot toad)
Lineage: Eukaryota; Metazoa; Chordata; Amphibia; Anura; Pelobatidae
Source: the annotation of a GenBank genome assembly